RNAcentral lists this long non-coding RNA (329 nucleotides) under Daucus carota (carrot). RNAcentral's name for it is "long non-coding RNA (DCAR_LNC005988)". The record is from RNAcentral. Lineage: Eukaryota; Viridiplantae; Streptophyta; Magnoliopsida; Apiales; Apiaceae.
CUGUACCCUCCGCCAUCUUCAUCAUCUCCGUACCCACCAUCAAAAUCAGCAGCCCUUUACCCGCCACAAGCCUCGGCGUACCCCAAUCCAUCUAAUAUUUCACAUCAACAUGAUUCAGCUCCAUAUCCUCCUCAACCAUAUCCGCCACCUUCUGUAUAUCCUCCUCAACCAUAUCCAUCACCUUCUGUAUAUCCCCCUCAACCAUAUCCACCACCAGCACAAUCCUCAAGCCAAUAUCCCCCAGGUAUCUAUUUAUUCACAUCGAGCAUGCAGAGUGUAUACUCCACAAUUUCAUCAUGUUGGGUAAUAAUUUUUUAUUUUUUCAUAAU